This is a long non-coding RNA of Panicum virgatum (switchgrass), 2032 nucleotides long. RefSeq lists it as uncharacterized. The transcript is spliced from 4 exons. The record is from RefSeq and is a predicted model, not a curated record. Lineage: Eukaryota; Viridiplantae; Streptophyta; Magnoliopsida; Poales; Poaceae.
GGAAACCCUAGCUAACCAAUUCCUUCUCCAUUCCCUAAAAAAAAAACCAAUUCCUUCUCCAAAUCCGGCGGCUGCCGCGAGCUCGCCUGCGCCCCGCUGACGCCUCCCCCGGCCCGCAGCUCCGCCUCGCGGUCUCCCGUGCCGCCGACGCUGACGCAUCCCGCCGGAGCUCCCUCCCACACUCUCCCGUGGAGCCGCUGCCGGAGUCCCCCGGCGACGGUGACCCAAGCCGGAUUUCUGUCCUCACGGUGAGCGUGCGACGCGCGGGCGAGCGGCCUGCGCCCGGGCCAGCGGUAGGCGGCCGACGCGCGGCCAGCGGGUCGUGCGGGGAGGGGGUCGUGUGAGGAGCGGCCGACGCACGAGCGGGCGGCCGGCGGCCGGCGUGCGCGCAGGCAGGAAGACGGCAGGCGCGGGUGCGCGGUUAUGCGCAGGAUCUGCAGACGGCGAGCGGCAUAAUCCCCGUCAACCACAAUGACCGGCACAAUGGAGGCAACAACAGAGCAUCCCCCAACAUGGGGGUACUAGAGAUAAGUGCUAUAUACUUGUUGGGUGUUAAUUGUUUUAUAUUUAAUAUUCAGGAAGCAAUAAAUCUUCCUAUAUUGCUAUAUAAAUAUAUAGCUUCACAUUGGAUUAUUUAGCAACAACAAUAAUGCAUUCAUGAUCUGAACUAUAUGGAUUAUUUAGCUUCACAUUGGAUUAUUUAGCAAUAGGAAAUAUCAAUAAUUAAAUGUUAAUCAACCGCAUUUCUCAAGUAAUUAAGGAUAUAUCAACUAAUAAAGCAAACUUACAACAUUUCGGACACACCAAACUAUCCUUAUUUAUUGAUGUGCUUACUUGCUAGGCAAAUCUAUGUUCUUUACUACCCUGUUCUGAUUCUGUUCUCACCAUGCAGUAUUAAACAAGAGCUCUUUGCAAAGUUCAGAGAAACAUCAAGUGACUGAAUACCACAAGUGCUCAACCUCAAGCUGUGCAAGUGGUUGUAACUUAAUUAGCAUGGAGGCAUUUGAAUAAUAUUAUUGGCAGCAACUCGUCUUGUGUGUGUGUCGGUAUUGUUAUCUUUCUCUAGCUGUUCAAAUCUAGUCAUUACAAAAGUGAAGUCAUUGUGCUGGUGAAACUUAUUUUAGUUCCAGCUUUGGGCAUGUUAGGAUUUGUAGUAGUCAUGCAGAAACUAAACUUGUAGUGGUAUGAAUUCCACACUCACUAGCCAAUUUCCUGAACCAUCAGAUUCCAUUACACUCAUCAGAAGGUCGUAACUAGAAGACUAAGGCACUGUGGAUACUUUUUGAGGACUUGAAGUCUAAUUGUACAAUGAAUUAGCUCAUCAUGCUUAUGCCUUCUGUCACUUUCAGCAUGCAUCCUGUUUGGUUCAAUUUAUCUGCCCAGCAUGACUAUAUCUACAAACCUGAUUUAUACCUAUCUGUCCUUAGCAUGUGCAUGCGUCUUCCAUUCAACAAUAAGCAUGUAUACAUGCAGUAAUAGCAGUGUUUUUACCUUGAACUGAGCAGCAGCAGCAGCAAGAGCAAACCUGUUUUUUCUUUUACCAGUUCUGCCUAUCUCAUCUCUCUUAAAAGAUGUUGUCCAGGCAGAUUUAAUGCAUGCUUGACCUUGCAGAUGCUCCAGGACAGGAGGCAAUUGGCAAUGCCCAAGUAGGACUGGCUAGCUGCAGCACAAGUGUCACACAUGGCCAUACAUGGAUGCAAGAUCAUUUUGACACCAAGAAAAUCAAAGUGCUCAUGGAUACUAUUGUCUUGACUAUUCCUAGCAUAUAGACAAAUCAUUUUGUAAGCCAAACAUGUGAUCUGUGCACUAGUGUUUUGAACAUAGUGGUUUUAAUACCACAAGAGAACCUUACAACUUCUAGGAGUGCUAGGUAUAGAAGUUAUACUGAUCAAAGUGCUGAGCAGCUGAUAGAUGCCAAUAUGAGCUCUCAGCUAGGAUAAGUGUAAUACAUUGUGGUUUGUUUGAUGUAACAUUUUUUGGCUUGCACUAAUAUAGAUGAAUCAAUAUCUUGAUGAAUGGUUUAUAUGGUUAA